Onychostoma macrolepis is the source of this 344-nucleotide long non-coding RNA. RefSeq lists it as uncharacterized. The transcript is spliced from 3 exons. The record is from RefSeq and is a predicted model, not a curated record. Lineage: Eukaryota; Metazoa; Chordata; Actinopteri; Cypriniformes; Cyprinidae.
GAGGCUUUCUUCAAGGGCACAGUCCGAUCUGAAACCUGCAUAACAUCCCCCAGGAUCCUCACUGUCCUAAAAAAAAAAACCUGGAGGUGAAAUUGGGCCUUGUCGGAUGACUCGUCUCCAGACCAGUUUACUAACAUUGGCGUCAUUCUGUACCUCUCUGCCCCCUACGGUGCUCCUUCCGUUGAGACACGCUUAAAGAGACAGCAUCAUCUGACUGAUGGUCACGAUCUUCUGUGACCUGUUUGGUUUGGAUGCAUGAUGUGGUUUAUAUGCAACCCCCAUUUAAAGAAGUUAAGAAUGUCACACAACCCUCCAGCUCAUUCCGGCAUGGAUUUCCUGAUUUG